GACGAACGCUGGCGGCGUGCCUAAUACAUGCAAGUAGAACGCUGAAGGAGGAGCUUGCUUCUCCGGAUGAGUUGCGAACGGGUGAGUAACGCGUAGGUAACCUGCCUGGUAGCGGGGGAUAACUAUUGGAAACGAUAGCUAAUACCGCAUAACAGUAGAUGUUGCAUGACAUUUGCUUAAAAGGUGCAAUUGCAUCACUACCAGAUGGACCUGCGUUGUAUUAGCUAGUUGGUGAGGUAACGGCUCACCAAGGCGACGAUACAUAGCCGACCUGAGAGGGUGAUCGGCCACACUGAGACUGAGACACGGCCCAGACUCCUACGGGAGGCAGCAGUAGGGAAUCUUCGGCAAUGGACGGAAGUCUGACCGAGCAACGCCGCGUGAGUGAAGAAGGUUUUCGGAUCGUAAAGCUCUGUUGUAAGAGAAGAACGAGUGUGAGGGUGGAAAGUUCACACUGUGACGGUAUCUUACCAGAAAGGGACGGCUAACUACGUG
RNAcentral lists this ribosomal RNA (495 nucleotides) under uncultured bacterium. RNAcentral describes it as "partial 16S ribosomal RNA". It matches the Rfam family "Bacterial small subunit ribosomal RNA", at positions 28 to 507 of the family's 1533-position model. The record is from RNAcentral.